Molecule: long non-coding RNA, 221 nt
Filed under: Nicotiana benthamiana
Lineage: Eukaryota; Viridiplantae; Streptophyta; Magnoliopsida; Solanales; Solanaceae
Description: long non-coding RNA (NBEN_LNC035855)
Source: RNAcentral
UGUUAUUACAGAGAAAAGAAAGAAAAUGAAUACUCGGUAGGUGAGAAAAAUAUCUCACCUACAUAUAUACAUGUUACACACGGAUGGGUUGGGUCGGGUGAUCCAGCCCAAAAUUAAAUAAUGACAAUUGGGCUCAGACACAAAAUCAUCACAGCCCAGUUACAACCAAAUUACAAGGUAUACCAUGGAUAUACCGAAACUAUACACUGAGUAUACACAAA